Molecule: transfer RNA, 76 nt
Filed under: Planctomycetota bacterium
Lineage: Bacteria; Pseudomonadati; Planctomycetota
Description: Planctomycetes bacterium (activated sludge metagenome) tRNA-Glu
Rfam family: tRNA
About the family: Transfer RNA (tRNA) molecules are approximately 80 nucleotides in length. Their secondary structure includes four short double-helical elements and three loops (D, anti-codon, and T loops). Further hydrogen bonds mediate the characteristic L-shaped molecular structure. tRNAs have two regions of fundamental functional importance: the anti-codon, which is responsible for specific mRNA codon recognition, and the 3' end, to which the tRNAs corresponding amino acid is attached (by aminoacyl-tRNA synthetases). tRNAs cope with the degeneracy of the genetic code in two manners: having more than one tRNA (with a specific anti-codon) for a particular amino acid; and 'wobble' base-pairing, i.e. permitting non-standard base-pairing at the 3rd anti-codon position.
Source: RNAcentral
GCCCCCUUCGUCUAGAGGCCUAGGAUUCGUGGUUCUCAGCCAUGCGACAGGGGUUCGAAUCCCCUAGGGGGUACCA